UACGUAGGGGGCAAGCGUUGUCCGGAAUUAUUGGGCGUAAAGCGCGCGCAGGCGGCCUUGUAAGUCUGUUGUUUAAACUCGGGGCUCAACCCCGAGUCGCAAUGGAAACUGCAAAGCUUGAGUACAGAAGAGGAAAGUGGAAUUCCACGUGUAGCGGUGAAAUGCGUAGAGAUGUGGAGGAACACCAGUGGCGAAGGCGACUUUCUGGGCUGUAACUGACGCUGAGGCGCGAAAGCGUGGGGAGCAAACAGGAUUAGAUACCCCCGUAGUCC
RNAcentral lists this ribosomal RNA (272 nucleotides) under uncultured bacterium. Its description in RNAcentral is "partial 16S ribosomal RNA". It matches the Rfam family "Bacterial small subunit ribosomal RNA", at positions 524 to 796 of the family's 1533-position model. The record is from RNAcentral.